GACAACGUGCCAGAGUGGUUAAUGGGUAUGACUCGAACGAGCUCAUCAACUAGAUAUCAUAUGGCUUCGGCCGCGCAGGUUCGAAUCCUGCCGUUGUCG
RNAcentral lists this transfer RNA (99 nucleotides) under Pyrenochaeta sp. MPI-SDFR-AT-0127. It matches the Rfam family "tRNA". Rfam says of the family: Transfer RNA (tRNA) molecules are approximately 80 nucleotides in length. The record is from Rfam by way of RNAcentral. Lineage: Eukaryota; Fungi; Ascomycota; Dothideomycetes; Pleosporales; Cucurbitariaceae.